UACCAUCAGCCUUCUAACAUCCUGUUGUGGU
RNAcentral lists this non-coding RNA (31 nucleotides) under Mus musculus (house mouse). The record is from RNAcentral. Lineage: Eukaryota; Metazoa; Chordata; Mammalia; Rodentia; Muridae.